RNAcentral lists this transfer RNA (121 nucleotides) under Vulcanisaeta souniana JCM 11219. Its description in RNAcentral is "tRNA-Thr". The record is from RNAcentral. Lineage: Archaea; Thermoproteati; Thermoproteota; Thermoprotei; Thermoproteales; Thermoproteaceae.
GCCCCGGUAGCUCAGCCCGGUCGGAGCGCCCUGGGGCGAAAGCCCCGUGCAAGCCUCGUAAGCGGGAGGUCCCGGUCGCGGGUUAACCGCGGGGAAGGUUCGAAUCCCGGCCGGGGCUCCA